This 314-nucleotide ribosomal RNA is filed under the name uncultured Anaerolineae bacterium. Its description in RNAcentral is "bacterial SSU rRNA". It matches the Rfam family "Bacterial small subunit ribosomal RNA", at positions 9 to 318 of the family's 1533-position model. Lineage: Bacteria; Bacillati; Chloroflexota; Anaerolineae. The record is from RNAcentral.
GAGUUUGAUCGUGGCUCAGGAUGAACGCUGGCGGCGUGCCUAAUACAUGCAAGUCGAACGAGGAGUACUUACUUCGGUUUUUACUCCUAGUGGCGAACGGGUGAGUAACGCGUUGGUGACCUGCCCCGAAGCGGGGGACAACAGUUCGAAAGAACUGCUAAUACCCCAUGUGGUCUUACUGGUUAGAGGCUGUAUGACUAAAGGAGUAAUCCACUUCGGGAGGGGCCUGCGUCCCAUCAGCUAGUUGGUAAGGUAACGGCCUACCAAGGCAAAGACGGGUAGGGGGCCUGAGAGGGUGGCCCCCCACCACUGGC